GUUUUGGUUUUGUUUUCCCAGAGGCUGCCAUAUGGUCUUUGAGUACGGGGAUGUCCCAAACUGGCCCACCAAUGAGCAUGGCGGCUCCGGCCAGGAAUGCCAGAGUUAGCCUCCCAGGCUUGCGGGUGGACAUGCCUGCUCCCUGCCAGCCUCCAGUGGCCUGGCCAGGCCCUCCCGAGCCUGUCUGCCCUCCCCAGGGGUGGAGGAGUCUCUGGGCCCCAGGAGGAUUCCCUCCCGGAGACUCGCACGGUGCUCCCUGCUCACGCGUUGUCACAGUUAGUCCGGAAAUGACUGAAACCAGGCAUUCUCCCGGACCUCAGCGUGGGGGAGCCUCCAGGCAGACGCUGGGUAUGGAGCUGUGGUGUGGUCUGUCCUGUAUGGUGGCCAGUGCUUUCUGCCAGCAUUUCUGGAUGGAUAUAGGGACUAUCAUUAGUAUCCUAAUACACGGUGAUUUUAAAACAACCAUAAAAUUGAUUCAGAGUCCACUGACCCUUACAGAUGUAGGUAUACCCUUACUGGAGAGGGAACUCUGAUGAGGAGAUGCUGGUAAAUUAUCAUUUUUUAAAUUGCUGGUGAGUCUGACACUUGGUGAGUUUUCAGCCAGUUUGUUAAACUUUUAAUUAAGUUUUGUUUAUAAUAAAAAUAUAAAUGGAUUUGAAAGUUUCCAUUUUUUAAAGUUACCCUCGUUUUCAAAGGUAUUUUCUAAACAGAUCUUUAAUGGACUAUUUAAACCGAAUUUAAGGAAUUCACACACGACAGUUGACAGGUCUUCACGCAGGCUGGUUGGUAACGUGCUGCCAGCACAGGGCUGGGUGAUACGUACACCCUAAGCCGGGGGUGCCUGGGGCUGGGGGGCGCUCCUUGCAAUGCCCCUCCAGCCACAGGGCAGUGAGGUGCUGCCUGUGUGAGCCGUCGGGGGAGCGGCCGGCUGUGGGGGCAGCGCAGCAGGAGCAUCGUGGGGCCUUUCCUUCUCGGCUGGUUCUCUGUGACGGUGGCGUCGGCUCGCCUCUGCUCCUUUCAUCUAGAAAGAAGCCACUGACCCUGACAGCCCACGGCGGGUACACUGAGCAGCUGCAUUGGUGCUGUCACUUUUUUAAGGCUUUCUGUCCAGACUUCAACACUGGUUUCUUUUCAGAGUUUCGAAGGAUUAAUGACUUCCUCAGCGCCCUUGCUGGCGGGCUGAGGGUGACAGUCACGUCCGUUUCUUCUGUAUUAGAAGGCUGCGGUGAUUCAAUUAGAUUGUCCCACUGCUGAGACCUGUAGGGCAGCUUCUAACAUGCUUUUUUCAAGGGGAGAGGAGUAGUGACAAGUCGUGUGUCGGAAUUGGAUUUGAGAACACUCUGAAUGACCCCUGGAGGCCGAGGGGGCAGGCUUCGGGCGUGAACUGAACUCCAGACCCCUCUUUGUGUUGGGCAGUGUCAUCUUGCUUACAAACUGUAAGACACAUUUUUUUGUGUGUUUGUUUUUGUUGUUGUUCUUUUGCAGCACUCACGCCUCUGACAGUCUUUUGGGAAAGAGUAACACCCACAUACAGAAUUUGUCACAUCCAGAGUAGCACUGUUCCUUAAUACUGGCAUAAUGCUUCCAGGAAGUUUUUCUUUUUUAUAUUUAAAAUGUUACUUUUCUGUAUGAUGUGCAUGCAAGUUUACCGUAACUUUUCUUAAACUUUUUAGUGCCGUUUCUAGUAUAUUCCUGUAAAUGUCAGUUACUGAAAAUGAGUCCAAUGUAAGUAGUUUAGCUUGUUUAUUGCAAUGCUGGCCUCAACACAACAGAAUAAAAAUGGUAGAAAGUACUCUUUGAUGUUUCUGGUAAUCAUGGACCC
RNAcentral lists this long non-coding RNA (1822 nucleotides) under Homo sapiens (human). Its description in RNAcentral is "non-protein coding lnc-VAV2-1:1". The record is from RNAcentral. Lineage: Eukaryota; Metazoa; Chordata; Mammalia; Primates; Hominidae.